Long non-coding RNA from Podarcis raffonei (Aeolian wall lizard), 627 nucleotides. RefSeq lists it as uncharacterized. The record is from RefSeq and is a predicted model, not a curated record. Lineage: Eukaryota; Metazoa; Chordata; Lepidosauria; Squamata; Lacertidae. The transcript has 2 exons.
GGGACCACGAGGAUCCUGCCUAUCCUGGUGUAUUAAGAUUCUGUCUGUGCAAAAGGAAGUUCUACUGCAUUCAGUGGGACUUGCUCCAGGUACAGAAAGAAUAACAAUGAAGAAAACAAUGUCAAAGCCAAGGAAUUCAUUCCCAAACAUUACACAGCAGCAAAUCUGCCACAAAAAUAAAAAUAAAACAAACUCAAAGGGAAAAUUUUCUUUCCCCCCCCCCCAACUCAAGUACACAUUACAGUUAUUUGUACUUCCUGAACAGCAAAAUCACUCCAGGGAGUGACUAAAAAUGAUUGCCCAACAGAAGUGGUUUUUCUAAUAAAAAGGGAACAGAAAAAUGUCACGGGACACUGCGAAGAAGGAGAUGACCUUGCCUUAUGGCAUAAGGGGGUGAUUUACAAAGCCAUCAUUUAGGACUGAUUCCCAUUUCCCAGGGGUUGGCUGGGAUCUCCCAGAAGACGCACACACUUUCAAUCAACUGCAGGUGCUAUUGCUAAGUCUGCACAACAAAUCUAUACCCAGUGGUGUACGUAGGUGUCUGUAUUGCAAACAAACAGGACCCCACACUUGUCAACCAAUCCUAAAUCUUCUUCUUGUCAUUAUUAAAAGUUUAUUGAACUUUUA